GCGGGGGUAGCCAAGACUGGUCAAAGGCGCAGGACUUAAGAUCCUGUCCCACAGGGGUCCGCGGGUUCGAAUCCCGCCCCCCGCACCA
This 88-nucleotide transfer RNA is filed under the name Methanobacteriota archaeon. RNAcentral describes it as "Euryarchaeota archaeon tRNA-Leu". It matches the Rfam family "tRNA". Rfam says of the family: Transfer RNA (tRNA) molecules are approximately 80 nucleotides in length. Their secondary structure includes four short double-helical elements and three loops (D, anti-codon, and T loops). The record is from RNAcentral. Lineage: Archaea; Methanobacteriati; Methanobacteriota.